GAUGAACGCUGACAGAAUGCUUAACACAUGCAAGUCUUUGGCGAAGCUGUGCUUGCACAGCCUAGCCAAGGCGGACGGGUGAGUAACGCGUAAGGAACUUGCCCUGCAGUCAGGGAUAACAGACGGAAACGACUGAUAAGACCUGGUAAAGUCAGGCGGACUCAUGUCCAGCCUGAUGAAAAGAGAUGCUGCAGGAGAGCCUUGCGUCCUAUUAGCUUGUUGGUGGGGUAACGGCCCACCAAGGCGAUGAUAGGUAGCCGGCCUGAGAGGGUGGACGGCCACAAGGGGACUGAGAUUCGGCCCUUACUCCUACGGGAGGCAGCAGUGGGGAAUAUUGGACAAUGGGGGCAACCCUGAUCCAGCAAUUCUGUGUGCACGAUGAAGGUUUUCGGAUUGUAAAGUGCUUUCAGCAGGGAAGAAAAAAAUGACGGUACCUGCAGAAGAAGCGACGGCUAAAUACGUG
RNAcentral lists this ribosomal RNA (463 nucleotides) under uncultured bacterium. Its description in RNAcentral is "partial 16S ribosomal RNA". It matches the Rfam family "Bacterial small subunit ribosomal RNA", at positions 28 to 507 of the family's 1533-position model. The record is from RNAcentral.